This 164-nucleotide ribosomal RNA is filed under the name Cenchrus flaccidus. RNAcentral's name for it is "5.8S ribosomal RNA". It matches the Rfam family "5.8S ribosomal RNA". From Rfam's summary of the family: 5.8S ribosomal RNA (5.8S rRNA) is a component of the large subunit of the eukaryotic ribosome. It is transcribed by RNA polymerase I as part of the 45S precursor that also contains 18S and 28S rRNA. Lineage: Eukaryota; Viridiplantae; Streptophyta; Magnoliopsida; Poales; Poaceae. The record is from RNAcentral.
CACACGACUCUCGGCAACGGAUAUUUCGGCUCUCGCAUUGAUGAAAAACGGAACAAAAUGGGAUACCUGGGGUGAAUUGCAAAAUCCCGCGAACCAUCGAGUUUUUGAACGCAAGUUGCGCCCGAGGCCUUCUGGCUGAAGGCACGCCUGGCUGGGCGUCACGC